This is a non-coding RNA of Podarcis lilfordi (Lilford's wall lizard), 101 nucleotides long. Lineage: Eukaryota; Metazoa; Chordata; Lepidosauria; Squamata; Lacertidae. The record is from the annotation of a GenBank genome assembly.
UCAGCAAAGGCUGACUCUGAGUAGACUCAUUGAAAUUAAUUGACCUAAUCAAGUAAUGAUUAUUAAUUUCAGUGAGUCUACUCAGAGUAAGCCUUUGUUGA